RNAcentral lists this ribosomal RNA (453 nucleotides) under uncultured bacterium. Its description in RNAcentral is "bacterial SSU rRNA". It matches the Rfam family "Bacterial small subunit ribosomal RNA", at positions 340 to 783 of the family's 1533-position model. The record is from RNAcentral.
UACGGGAGGCAGCAGUGGGGAAUAUUGCACAAUGGGCGCAAGCCUGAUGCAGCCAUGCCGCGUGUAUGAAGAAGGCCUUCGGGUUGUAAAGUACUUUCAGUCGUGAGGAAGGUGUUAAGGUUAAUAACCUUAGCAAUUGACGUUAGCGACAGAAGAAGCACCGGCUAACUCCGUGCCAGCAGCCGCGGUAAUACGGAGGGUGCGAGCGUUAAUCGGAAUUACUGGGCGUAAAGGGCACGCAGGCGGUUAAUUAAGUUGGAUGUGAAAUCCCCGGGCUUAACCUGGGAAUGGCAUUCAAGACUGGUUAGCUAGAGUCUUGUAGAGGGGGUAGAAUUCCAUGUGUAGCGGUGAAAUGCGUAGAGAUGUGGAGGAAUACCGGGUGGCGAAGGCGGCCCCUGGGACAAAGGCUGACGCUCAUGUGCGAAAGCGUGGGGAGCGAAACAGGGAUUAGAU